GGUUAAGCGACUAAGCGUACACGGUGGAUGCCUUGGCAGUCAGAGGCGAUGAAGGACGUGCUAAUCUGCGAUAAGCGUCGGUAAGGUGAUAUGAACCGUUAUAACCGGCGAUUUCCGAAUGGGGAAACCCAGUGUGAUUCGUCACACUAUCAUUAACUGAAUCCAUAGGUUAAUGAGGCGAACCGGGGGAACUGAAACAUCUAAGUACCCCGAGGAAAAGAAAUCAACCGAGAUUCCCCCAGUAGCGGCGAGCGAACGGGGAGCAGCCCAGAGCCUGAAUCAGUAUGUGUGUUAGUGGAAGCGUCUGGAAAGGCGCGCGAUACAGGGUGACAGCCCCGUACACAAAAAUGCACAUGCUGUGAGCUCGAUGAGUAGGGCGGGACACGUGGUAUCCUGUCUGAAUAUGGGGGGACCAUCCUCCAAGGCUAAAUACUCCUGACUGACCGAUAGUGAACCAGUACCGUGAGGGAAAGGCGAAAAGAACCCCGGCGAGGGGAGUGAAAAAGAACCUGAAACCGUGUACGUACAAGCAGUGGGAGCACGCUUAGGCGUGUGACUGCGUACCUUUUGUAUAAUGGGUCAGCGACUUAUAUUCUGUAGCAAGGUUAACCGAAUAGGGGAGCCGAAGGGAAACCGAGUCUUAACUGGGCGUUAAGUUGCAGGGUAUAGACCCGAAACCCGGUGAUCUAGCCAUGGGCAGGUUGAAGGUUGGGUAACACUAACUGGAGGACCGAACCGACUAAUGUUGAAAAAUUAGCGGAUGACUUGUGGCUGGGGGUGAAAGGCCAAUCAAACCGGGAGAUAGCUGGUUCUCCCCGAAAGCUAUUUAGGUAGCGCCUCGUGAAUUCAUCUCCGGGGGUAG
RNAcentral lists this ribosomal RNA (862 nucleotides) under Escherichia coli. RNAcentral describes it as "partial 23S ribosomal RNA". It matches the Rfam family "Bacterial large subunit ribosomal RNA", at positions 1 to 905 of the family's 2925-position model. Lineage: Bacteria; Pseudomonadati; Pseudomonadota; Gammaproteobacteria; Enterobacterales; Enterobacteriaceae. The record is from RNAcentral.